Molecule: ribosomal RNA, 200 nt
Filed under: uncultured bacterium
Lineage: Bacteria
Description: partial 16S ribosomal RNA
Rfam family: Bacterial small subunit ribosomal RNA
Source: RNAcentral
UGAAGGCUGAAAUUCGCCUUCAUGAAGCCGGAAUUGCUAGUAAUGGCAGGUCAGCAUACUGCCGUGAAUACGUUCCCGGGCCUUGUACACACCGCCCGUCACACCAUGAGAGUUGGGAAUACCCGAAGCCUGUGAGCUAACGUAAGAGGCAGCAGUCGAAGGUAGAAUCAAUGAUUGGGGUGAAGUCGUAACAAGGUAUC